GACGAACGCUGGCGGCGUGCUUAACACAUGCAAGUCGAACGGAAAGGCCCUGCUUUUGUGGGGUGCUCGAGUGGCGAACGGGUGAGUAACACGUGAGUAACCUGCCCUUGACUUUGGGAUAACUUCAGGAAACUGGGGCUAAUACCGGAUAGGAGCUCCUGCUGCAUGGUGGGGGUUGGAAAGUUUCGGCGGUUGGGGAUGGACUCGCGGCUUAUCAGCUUGUUGGUGGGGUAGUGGCUUACCAAGGCUUUGACGGGUAGCCGGCCUGAGAGGGUGACCGGCAACAUUGGGACUGAGAUACGGCCCAGACUCCUACGGGAGGCAGCAGUGGGGAAUAUUGCACAAUGGGCGGAAGCCUGAUGCAGCAACGCCGCGUGCGGGAUGACGGCCUUCGGGUUGUAAACCGCUUUCGCCUGUGACGAAGCGUGAGUGACGGUAAUGGGUAAAGAAGCACCGGAUAACUACGU
RNAcentral lists this ribosomal RNA (467 nucleotides) under uncultured bacterium. RNAcentral's name for it is "partial 16S ribosomal RNA". It matches the Rfam family "Bacterial small subunit ribosomal RNA", at positions 28 to 506 of the family's 1533-position model. The record is from RNAcentral.